Molecule: ribosomal RNA, 376 nt
Filed under: uncultured bacterium
Lineage: Bacteria
Description: bacterial SSU rRNA
Rfam family: Bacterial small subunit ribosomal RNA
Source: RNAcentral
UACGUAGAAGGCGAACGUUAUCCGGAUUUACUGGGCGUAAAGCGAGUGCAGACGGUUGCUUAAGUCAGUUGUGAAAUCUUUUGACUCAAUCAGGAGACUGCAAUUGAUACUGGGUGACUUGAGGGCGACAGAAGAAAACAGAAUUCCCGGUGUAGCGGUGAAAUGCGUAGAUAUCGGGAGGAAUACCAGUGGCGAAGGCGGUUUUCUAGGUUGCUCCUGACGUUGAGGCUCGAAAGUGUGGGGAGCGAAACGGAUUAGAUACCCGUGUAGUCCACACCCUAAACGUUGAACACCAGGUAUAGGGGGUAUCGACCCUCUCUGUGCCGAAGCUAACGCUUUAAGUGUUCCGCCUGGGGACUACGGCCACAAGGCUAAA